RNA transcript from Phragmites australis (common reed), 9649 nucleotides. It is a transcript of the gene named phospholipase D zeta 1-like, with no coding region annotated. Lineage: Eukaryota; Viridiplantae; Streptophyta; Magnoliopsida; Poales; Poaceae. The record is from RefSeq and is a predicted model, not a curated record. The transcript has 9 exons.
AAAGCCUAAACUAUCAAGUUAUGAAACUUUCUCGAGUUUCCCUUCUUCCUCUUGUUUAUGGAAGCUGGAGGAGGAACCACCAAACCGAUCCAUCAACCGUUCAUUCAAUAGAAAAAAAAAAAAAAACCCGCGGAACUCCGCCGGCCAAUCAGAUCGAGCCCGUCCGAGCUUUCCUUCCUCCCUCGAAUCUUCCAUGAACCUGGAGCGCCUGCCGGUGGAACGCUACGGCUACCGGUACGCGGGGAUGCCACCGCCAGACCCGGGGUUCGAGCCCACCGAGGGCGACGGCGAGGGGGCUCCAGCCUCGGCCCCGGAGCGGCGGCCGUAGGUCCGGGCGGCGUCGGCGUCGCUCCGGGUGCCCGAUGCGGCGCGGGUCUUCGACGAGCUCCCGCGCGCCUCCAUCGUUUCCGUCUCGCGCCCCGAAGUGGGGGACAUCACGCCCAUGCUGCUCUCCUACACCAUCGAGGUCCACUACAAGCAGGAAAUCAUGUGACUUCGGUGUGAUGCUGAUUACUCUGAAAUCGCGCCCUUGGGUGGAAUCCACGAUCAAGUUAUACGUGAAUUGGGUAGCGACAAUGUUUAGAUGGCGUCUAUAUAAGAAAGCUUCACAGGUUCUCUAUCUACAUUUUGCAUUGAAGAGGCGUGAAUUCCUUGAAGAAUUCCAUGAAAAGCAGGAGCAGGUUUUGCUUCUCUCCCGAGCUCAACGUAAGCAAGCAGAAAAGUCCAUAGUCCGUGCCCGAAGCGCUCAGGCCCAGAUUGACUUGCUACAAAAACGGGCGGAAAAAGCUGAGGGCCAGAAGCGCGAGAUGUCGCGGCGUGCGAAGGAUGCAGAGUUACGAUUGGAGCGGCUUGAAAUGGAGCUCGAUGCCCUUCGCUCGGUGAAGGGGAUCGCUGACAGCGAAGUGAGUUGCCUUCGACAGAAUCUGCAAUCCUUCGAAGCGCAAGUUUGCGAGUUGCAAUCACUUUGCGCGUCGGAGAGAGAGAAAGCUGAGCGGCUGCAGAUUGAACUAAGCGAAGCGAAUGCUUACAAUGACGAUGCCCUUAAUGUCAUUGGGGAGCUUAAGCUGAAGGCGGUUGCCGCUUGCGAAGCAAUCAGCCGUACCUUCGAAGGUAUAGGCGCCUCGGCGACCCCUCCAUCACUUGAACUCGUCGGACUGAGUGGGCUUAUCGGUUGGAUCAAUGAGACCAGUAGUAGCCUCCUUCUGGCUGCACAACUUUACGGCAACUUCUGCGCCAUGGUUGCCGCCCGGAGUCUCGUGCAAUCUAUGGAGAUGACGGGUUGCGACCAUCACACUGCUCUCCAACAACCUUCCUUCCAGUAUCCUUCGGAUUUGUCAACUUCGGCUAUUACAAAAGCAUCGAAGAGCACUGCUCGAUCAUUCACCACCAAUUACAGGUGCAAGCAUGGCCGCGAGCUCGCUCUUCGAGAGGCCGAAUUGAACCGGCAGAGGGCCAAGGCGAGGGAUGACACCUCGUCGAAACCAACUACUAUGACAACCGAAGAUACUGGGAAGGUGGGAUGAAUUGGCGUGAAGGGUCGUGUUUAUGCUUUUGUUUUUGUAAUUAGCGAUGUGACACACUGGCUGUGUAAUACAUUAUAUAUUCAUAUCGAACUGUUAUUGACCUUUUUGUGCUCCCUGCGCAGGUCCUUGCGUCAGACACUGCGCAGGUAGCCGAAGAAGCUAUGCCUUUGACUAUGAUGAGGGAUAAUUUUUAUGUAUCCUAGUCCUGCUAGGAAUCAUUUCACCGACGUCAUGCUAAUAUCGACUUGGAGCGGUACUGGCAUGCGAAGUGUAGAUCGUAUGACGAUAUGAAUGCUAGAACGAAAGCGUUUUGGAAAUCUGUUAGUCCUUCGACGCUAGUUAGUCGACGAGCUGAACGAAAUCUGCGCCGUGCGGCGAGAGGGGACGUUGACGGCACAUCGGUGCUUGUUGAGCCGAAGAUUGAACCUCAAGACGAGGAGCCGUUUUCACACAGACUCCAAUUGUGCUAUCGGCGUGGUCCCUCUUCGUAAGUAGCUAGGCGAAGUGGUAGUGAUGGCGAAACUCCUAUGUCGCCGUCAUAUUGUAAUCAAGUUGGGGUCCAUUCGGCCCCAUCGUCGCGUUUCCAUGCCAGCGAAGGCAUCGAUUAUCAAUUUUCUUUCAGUCGUUUGUAUAAGGAUUUUGUUGAUCCAGAAGUUGAUUUUGAUGCGGAAUAAAUUGGGUUUGUGUUGUGAUUUGUUCUUUUGGUACACCUUUACCGGCAUGACGUGCGAAGUGUUUUUUUUUUGGUGCGAUGCGCUCUGAACCUAUGUUGGAUUCUCUGGGUUAGACUUUCUUGACGAAGGCCAUCCCCCGAUUUUCAUCGCAGUUUCCUGCGAUUCUACUAGGCUGAUAUUUUUCUUAUUAUCAUUGUUAUUUUUGCGAAGCGCCGUCCCCCCCCCCCCCUCGGACUUUUACUCGCAGGUAACUUCGGCCUGGUGGGGGGCAAGCAAUCUUGGCCUCUGACGUCUAGCUUUGAAGGUUUUUGGUUUCAACUCGCUGGACGGUUGAUAUUUGGGCAGGCACUCCUAGCCCCCUGCCCUUGACGAAGUGCGUUGCCUUUUAGUUGGCUUAGGGACACUUCGUUUUUUUUGUCCCGAAGGUUUGUUUUACCCUUCAGUGCGGGGGCAGGCACUCUUAGCCCCCGACUUUCGGCGAAGUUCGUUGCUUUUUCUUUGGCUCGGCGAUACUUCGUUUUUGCGAAGGUUUGUUUUUCCCUUCGGUGCGGGGGUAGGCACUCUUAGCCCCCGACUUUCGGCGAAGUUCGUUGCCUUUUCUUUGGCUCGGCGAUAUUUCGUUUUUGCGAAGGUUUGUUUUUCCCUUCGGUGCGGGGGCAGGCACUCUUAGCCCCCUGGCGGUUUUUAUAAUUCCGCGAAGGUCGCAAGUGUACGCUUGCUUGCCUACACUUCGCACCGCGUUCUAGUCGUCGAUUGGUGCGCCAAUCUCUUAGUCUGGCGCACUUCGACGAAAAGUACUACUACUCAAGACAAGCAAUAUUUUUUGGGGGGCACUAUCAUUGUUCACAUGGGUUCCUGCCUCGUUAAAAACCUCACCCCCUAGCGAAGGGGUCCCCCUGUGAGAAAAAGAGUGCAGUACCCUUACAAUGCGAUUACAAGAACUACUAUGAAAAUUAAAAAUUACAUUGGAGUCUCGGACUCUAAUUGCCGAUCUUCAGGCGUAGAACUUGCGAAGGUUGUCUGCAUUCCAGGUGUGUGGAAGCUCUUCACCUUAAAUAUUGGCUAGAUGACAAGAACCAGGUCUCAAAGAUCUUUUAACUAUGAAGGGGCCAUCCCAUUUACUCUGAAGUUUGCCAAACAAUGCUGCUGUACCAAAUCUUCGCAACACCAAGUCUCCGGGUGCGAAGGUCUUUUCGGAUACAUUCCUAUCUCUCCAUUUUCUUGUCUCUUUUUGGUAAGUGGCCAGGUUUUUUGCGGCUUGCAAUCUUACUUCUUCAAGGGCAUCUUUCGAUGAAAAUUCCUCGCAUUGUUCUAGUUCAUUCCCGACCCUGAAUGAUUUCGUUUUGCAUUCCUCUGGAGUUAUGGCCUCUUCGCCAAACAGUAGGUGAAAUGGCGUAUCCUGUUGGUCUUGCAACCGUUGUUCUUAAUGACCAUAGUACUUUGGGCAAUUCUUCGACCCACUUUCCUUUUGGCAAUCCUUGAAGACGCUUCGCAACCCCUGCGAAGAUGAUGCCAUUUGCUCUCUCAACUGUGCCAUUAGAUUGUGGGUGGUAAACUGAUGCAAACAUUAAUUUUAUGCCUAAGCCAUUACAUAAAUCUCUAAAUCCCGCGCUAUCGAACUGAGUACCAUUGUCCACGGUUACUUCGCUUGGAACCCCGAAGCGGCACAAAAUAUUCUGCCAUAGGAAUUUUUUUAAUGUUUUUUGACGUUAUGCUCACAAGUGGCAUUGCUUCUACCCAUUUUGAAAAGUACUCUACCGCCACCACCGCAUAGCGCAAAUUUCCUGGGGCUGGCAGCAGCUGCCCGACAAUAUCGAUUCCCCAUCGCCGCAAUGGCCAGAUCGGCGGAAUAAAUUGUGUCUUCGUUGUUGGUCUGUUUGAUCUCUUUGCCCAGAAUUGGCAUUGUUGGCAACUUUAUAAUUUCUUACCCUCUAAGCCAUGCGCUUUUCUUCGACCUGAUCUUCGAUAUCCCUUUGGCCCCGCAGAUAUGCCAUUAUCGGAAAACGCCAGUCUUUGCUCUCAAUUGUUGCGACCAAGCGUGUUUGGUUGGAACUGUCAUCGAGGGCCAGUUCAGUUAGUUUCUGAUAGAAGACAUCUGGAGGCAUGGGCAUGUUCUGCGAAGCCGCUUUUGCUAGCUCAUCUGCUUCGUUGUUAUCAUUCCUUGAUACACUUUUCACUGUGAAUCCGACGAAGUAUUUUUCCAUUCUUCGCACUGCUGCUCUGUCCUUGAUCAGCUCUGGUUCCUUUGCCUGCAAUGUUUUUUCAAUCUGGCUUGCUACAACCUUCGAGUCUGUUUUGACAAGUAUUCUUCGAGCUCCCAAAACCUUCGCCUUGCGAAGUGCCAGGAGUACAGCUUCGUAUUCCGCUGUAUUGUUUGUGGAUCGGAACUCUAACCUGGCGGUGUAUCGCAGCUUCGUCCCCGAAGGUGAAAAUAUUACUGCCGAGACUUCUGCUCUUACAGCUCCCCAGGCUCUGUCGCAGUACGCGGUCCAGAUAGGUUCUGCUGCUUCGUCAUCCAAAGCCUCAGAUGAAGGUGUCCAUUCCGCCACGAAAUCUGCCAGCGCUUGCGAUUUUAAUGAUGUUCGUGCCACGAAGACAAUCAUGAAUGGAGCUAUCUCCGUUGCCCACUUCGCUAUUCUUCCGAUGGCUUCUUUGUUUUCGAACAUGUCGCGAAGGGGUAGGGAAGUUGGCACUGUAAUCUUAUGAGAAGUAAAAUAGUGGCGAAGCUUGCGGGAUGCCAUUACUAGUGCAUACGCUACUUUUUCCAACUCUGUGUAUGACUUCUUUGGGUCUGCUAGUACUUUGGAUACAUAAUACACUGGUGCUUGGCGCAGCCUGGUAUCUUCGGGUUUUUCCUGCACGAGAACAGCGCUGACUGCUGAUGGGGAAGCCGCUAUGUAUAACAAUAAAUCUGCGCCUGGAUCCGGGCUGGUCAAUGCUGUAAGCUUCGUCAAGUAUACUUUUAACUCAUCGAAGGAAGCCUGCUGCUCGGCACCCCAUUUGAAAGGGUCAGAACUUCUUAACACCUUGAAGAGUGGUAGACUUCGCUCGGCGGACUUCGCAAUGAACCUGUUCAAUGCUGCUAGUCUUCCUGUCAAGCGUUGGGCUUGCUUUCUGUUAUGUGGCGGUUUCAUAUCCAAAAUUGCUUGUAUCUUCUGAGGAUCCGCUUCGAUUCCUCUUUUCGACGCUAGAAACCCCAGGAGUCUUCCGGAUUGCACUCCGAAGACGCAUUUCUCUGGGUUUAAUUUUAAACCUGCUCUUCGCAGAUUAUCGAAGGUUUCCCGGAGGUCUUCGAUGUGUUGGCCUCUCCUGGUACUUUUUACUACUAUGUCAUCAACAUAGGUCAAUACAUUUUGUCCCAGCUGCGGCUUUAAUGUGGCCUAUACCAAUCUUGUAAAGGUUGCUCCAGCAUUCCGGAGUCCAAAAGGCAUUCUUACGAAACAGUAUGUUCCGAAAGAGAUUCUGAAACUCGUUUUGUCUUCGUCUUCCUUUGCCAUCCAUAUUUGAUGGUACCCAGCAUAAGCAUCUAGGAAGCUUAGCAUCUCGCAGCCGGCUGCGGAGUCUAUAAGCUGGUCAAUUCUAGGCAGUGGAAAGUCAUCCUUGGGGCAAAUUUUGUUUAAAUCUGUGAAAUCGAUGCAUAUUCUCCACUUUCCAUUACUUUUCCUUACUAAUACUGGGUUGGCCAGCCAUUCCGAGUGCAUAACCUCGCGUAUUACUCCGGCAUCGAGCAGUUUUUCUACUUCGACCUUUGCUGCUUCUUCUCUUUCCUCCGAAGCCUUUUUAAGCUUCUGUUUCUUUGGCUUCGCUUUGGGGUCCACAUUUAGCUUGUGCUGAAUGAUGCUUCGACUCACUCCUUGCAGGUCUCAAGGGGACCACGCGAAGACAUCGUUAUUUCUGCGAAGGAACAUGACAAGUUGCUGCUGAUCUUCUGCCGGGGCCUCUGCCCCUAUUGUAAUCUUCUUAUCUUCUUCAUGAUUUAGCAGCACUAUUCUGGUAGGUCCUUCUGGUGCAGCCUUCGCACAUUUCUCUAUGGUUUUCCUGCUGUGGCCUGCUUCGGCACCCGUCGAAGGGUCUGCGAUGUUGUGGACAUUUCUUCUUCCUGAGGCUAUUCCUACUUCGAUUCGCCUAGCAACUCGCUGAUCUCCCAACACCUUUAUGACUCCUUCUGGGCCAGGCAUCUUCAUGCACAAAUAAGCGUGGUGCAGUAUUGCUCCGAAUUUAUUGAGGAACCCCCUCCCAAAUAUCGCAUUGUAUGGGUAACUAAUGUCCACCACGUCGAAGGUAAUUUCCUCUGUGUGGAAAUUCAUCUGUUCGCCAAGCGACACUGGGAUUGUUAAUUUUCCUAGAGCGUUGAUUGUGUUUCUGCCGAAGCCCAGCAACGGCGACCCAGCUUGUUUCAAGUCAUUUCUUCGCAGCCCCAUCUUAUCGAAGGCAUCAACGAAGAUAAUGUCCGUAGAACUUUCUCCAUCGACCAAUAUCCUGUGUAUUUCAUUUCCCGAGAUGUUCGCAGUAAUGACUAGGGCAUCUGUGUGCGAAUAAUCUAAUACCCUCAUAUCCUCUUGCGAGAAUGUAAUGGGAAUGUUAGACCAUCUUGAAUUGAUGUAUGUUGGUCCCACUCCGACGUGGUUAACCCUUCGUACGUAUUCUUUUUGCUGUCUCUUGGAUUCUGUUUGCUGACUGGACCCCCCUGAAAUAGCCAGCACCACAUUGUACCCAUUGUUUAUGGUAUUAACUGAUUUGCUACUUUCUGGUGGUGCCUCGAUUGCAGGUCUUGGCGGAGGCGGGGGUAGAUUGCCCCGAAUGUUCAGUUGCCUAGUUUGAUCAAAUUGGGCUGAAGGUGCGGGUGCAAAUUGUGGUGCUCGAAUUUGAUGCCAUUGGUUCGGAAACACUAUGUUCUGAUUGUGGUUUUGCCACCCUUCGCUUCUUGCGAAGCUUGUUGCGUGGUGAACUGCCCUUUCGUUAUCUAUUGACUGCUUCGCUAUACUUUCUUUCAUGGCCACGACUUGUGGGCAAUGUUUAGUCCGGUGGCCUGCUCCUUCGCCGUGCAGCUCACAGUAAAAGGUUGAUGGGUCAUGCGAAGGUCGUCCUCCUCUACCUUCACGGCCUCUUCCCCUGCCCGCCCGGCCUCCUCUAUUGGACGAGUUGUAGGCUUCGCACAAGCCUUGGACUACUUCGGGCGGGCCGGGGUUGAUCUGGUUGAUUUCUUUUUGGCUUGGAUAAUCAGGACCUUCGGGUUUUCUUGGACGCUGAGGUCUGUCACUCUGAUUGCCACCAACUGCCUCCUUAUGUGGUGCAUGCUUUGCUCUUGAGGUCGUAAACUCGUUUUUCCUUCGUAGAUGAUCGAGUUCAGAUCUUGAGUAUUCUUCCAUCUUGUUUAGUAGCUCUUGGACGCUUGUGGGUUUUUUUCUAGUGAGCUUCCCUGCCAAAAGGCCCCCUCUGAUGCCCUGUAUUGCGGCAUCGAUGAUGGUAUCUUCGCUCAGUCCCUUCGCCUGACAACGUAUGUGUACGAAUCGGCGCAUAUAGCUUUGUAAAGUUUCUGUCGGUUGUUGCUUCAGCGCGAAGAGGUCGGUUGCGGUGAUGUUAUCCGCCCGGUUCCCUUGGAAGUUGCUGUAUAGGGCAGUGCGCAGCUGUUCCCAUGAAUAUAUGGAUCUCGGGGGUAGAGCGGAGUACCACGACUUUGCUAUUUCCUUGAUCGCCAAUACGAAAGCCUUCGCCAAGGUUACACCGUCUCCGCCAGCUGACUCUACGGCUGCCUCGAAGCUCAUGACAAAUUCUCUCGGAUCUGAUUCUCCAUCGAAAAUAACCACUCUGGGCAUUUUGAAUCCUAGCGGCCAUGGCUGAUUUUGCAGGUCCAUUGCUAGGGGUGACUCAGGAUCUCCCGCGGAAGAUCUUCGCCGAAUUUCUUGCGAGGCUCGUAUCAAAUCUCUCGGUGGUGUUGGCCGGCGAGACAUGCCUUCUGCUUGGAGUAUAUCGAUUUCCUCCUGGAUCCUUUCCAACGUUUUUCUUGCUUCGUCUACCCACCGGCGGUACUCCGUAGUUUUUCGGGUCGCUGCUAGGCCAUCCAACAUGCGCUUUUUGUGCGCAAUCUGCCUUUCCAACUCCUCAGCUUCUAGCCUAGCAUUUCGUUCUUCGUUUGUUUCUUCAUCAUGUUCCAACUCGGUGAAGUCGCCUAGUUCCUCCCAUUCUUCGCUUCGCCCUCUUUCGCCCUCUUUUUCUGGAAAAUCGAAGCGAAUGCGAUCUAUUGGCUCCAUGAUCGGCAUUUGCUCUGUGUCCACCCGUAGUGUGUCGUCAUGUCGGCCAUCGGCAGUUUGUUGUGGCGUUGUGUCAACUUCGCAAUGCUGCUCUUGUGCGGCCGAAGCCCCCCCCCCCCCCCGGCCGAGGCAUUGCCUGAUUCUGGUACCGCCGGAGUGGUUCUGUCGGCCGAAGGUCCGACCACGGCUCUGUCUGCCAAAGGUCCGACCACGGCUGGGAGUUCUAGUAGCGCCUCCGCUCCUCCAGGUGGCUUCGCUUUCUUCUUGGGUGGCAUGCUUUCGUGGGUUCGAUCCCGCGGACGGCGCCAACUGUUGGGAUCGGAGUCUCAGACAAGGAGGGCCUUCGGGGGUGGAGGUGGCGAAGGUCCCUUAUAGUGACGUGUACUGGAAGUAGAACAGUUUUCGAUUACCUUUCACGGUUACACUGUGGCUCUAUUUAUAGCCCGUACCCGGCGAUCACGGGUCCAGUUUACAUAUAUUACCCCUAACCUGCUACAUUCCUGGAAUAUCCAGGGGUAAUAUGGUACAAAUGAGCAUGAUUCCAUAAUUACAACUGUGCCCAGGACAACUGGGCCCACUGUCAAACUGGUCGUCCAACCGAAGGAUAUCGAAGCCCUCUUCGUCCAACCUCUUGACGAGCUGCCUUCGCCGUCUCCUGGCGAAGGCCUGGCCUUGUCUUCGCAUGGUCCGAAGGACGCGGGACGCGAAUCGGGGCUUCGCCCGACAAUCGAGAUCGGUCAGCCUUCGCAUGUGCCAAUCCGGUGAGAAGAAAAUGCUUGGACGCUUCGCAUGUACCAAUCCGGUGAGAAGAAGAUGCAACCAGCGCGACAGCUGUCCCGCAGCACCUCCAACUAACUUCGCAGUUGUCUUCGGGUGCGGGGAUGGCGGGAGAUGAUCCCCAACAGAUUGCUGUGGUCAUUGAAGAUAAAGAAGUUGUCAAUUCCAAAAUGGAUGGAAGACCUUGGGAAGCUGGGAAAUUCUCUCUAAGCCUACGUCUCUCUCUGUGGGCGGAGCACCUUGGCCUUCAUCCAGGAGAGAUUAGCCACAUCAUGGAUCCUAUAGAUGAUUCAACAUUCAAAAAUAUCUGGAUGGCCACUGCUAAGACGAAUACCAUGAUAUACCAAGAUGUCUUCUCUUGUGUACCCAAUGAUCUCAUGCAUUCGAGGGUCCAAUUUUGGCAAAGCUUUGCUCAGUUGAGGGA